GGGUGAGUAACACGUAUGCAAUCCACCUGUAACAGGGGGAUAACCCGGAGAAAUCCGGACUAAUACCCCAUAAUAUGGGCGCUCCGCAUGGAGGGCUCAUUAAAGAAAGCAAUUUUGGUUACAGACGAGCAUGCGCUCCAUUAGCCAGUUGGCGGGGUAACGGCCCACCAAAGCGACGAUGGAUAGGGGUUCUGAGAGGAAGGUCCCCCACAUUGGAACUGAGACACGGUCCAAACUCCUACGGGAGGCAGCAGUGAGGAAUAUUGGUCAAUGGUCGGCAGACUGAACCAGCCAAGUCGCGUGAGGGAAGACGGCCCUACGGGUUGUAAACCUCUUUUGUCGGAGAGUAAAGUGCGCUACGCGUAGCGUAUUGCAAGUAUCCGAAGAAAAAGCAUCGGCUAACUCCGUGCCAGCAGCCGCGGUAAUACGGAGGAUGCAAGCGUUAUCCGGAUUUAUUGGGUUUAAAGGGUGCGUAGGCGGCACGCCAAGUCAGCGGUGAAAUUUCCGGGCUCAACCCGGAAUGUGCCGUUGAAACUGGCGAGCUAGAGUACACAAGAGGCAGGCGGAAUGCGUGGUGUAGCGGUGAAAUGCAUAGAUAUCACGCAGAACCCCGAUUGCGAAGGCAGCCUGCUAGGGUGAAACAGACGCUGAGGCACGAAAGCGUGGGUAUCGAACAGGAUUAGAUACCCUGGUAGUCCACGCAGUAAACGAUGAAUACUAACUGUUUGCGAUAC
Molecule: ribosomal RNA, 734 nt
Filed under: uncultured bacterium
Lineage: Bacteria
Description: bacterial SSU rRNA
Rfam family: Bacterial small subunit ribosomal RNA
Source: RNAcentral